CCGUCGAAAUACCAAAGUCAAAGGUAGGUCACAGUUCAACUAAGGGUACUCUAUCUUCUAUCAACUAGGGGUCUUUUAUUUUCUUCUUCUGUUUGUUCAACCGUCAUAAAAAUACCAACAACAUCGACCUGACUUGAAGACUUAUGAUAUAAUGACCUGACCUACUACGGUCUUCCGUACUCCAUCUGUCUUCCCUUCUGACUCGAUAGUCUCCUUGAUCAUCGUAGAGUCCUCGUUGUUGUCCUGUACCUUAGAGAGGGGCAGGGCUCGCACGUCCGGUACCACCGCCGGUGGCCGCUUCGGCUACACGGUGGCUCCAUAGAGGCCGGACGCCUCCGCCAGUGGCCGUAGCAGUUGCCGCUCCCACUCCGGGUCUAGGGGUAGUAGCUGAUGGCCUCCGACGACGACCUCGACCUAGCGGCGCCACUCCUCAGACGCGCGGAGGUGGUCCGCACGGUCCUUACCCCGAAGAAGGUCGACUAAUUGGUGUCACAGGGCCUGCUACACCACCUCCCUUACUUCCGGUUGUAAGUCGUUAAGAAAGUCGAUGGGCGUCUCUGCUUCUUUGAUAAGCGCGUCCUCGCUCCCGUCGACCUUCCGAUGCCAGUCGACAAGCAGCAGAGCCUCCUAGUCUUCGAACUGACCCGGCUAUACGAAAUGGACAUGUGUGUCGGUGGACUCUCGUCCUUGUGGUUCAAGACCGGACUGGUCGGACAAUUAAAGUCUAGCUGCGACCUAUCUAUGAGACCACGACACUUCCUCUAUCGCCUAAGGGAAAACCGCUGCUACCGUCUCUUGAACCCUGACUUUGUUCUCCACUAACGACUGUCUACGCACCCGCCUCACGUCAGACAGUCCUACUUGAUGAUGGGCGGCACGCGGGUUCGUCUGUUUCAGUAACCGAAGAGGGGCGUGAGACUGCGGCUAGAGGACUGGGAGCAGGAGGUUCACUUGGUACAGGUUCCGGACGUCUAGUUCUCCUUGCCGUCGACCAAGGGGCAGUCCGGGCAGCUCCCGCGAGAGUAGCAGUUGUAACCCCUAUAGAAACUCUAGAAGUGUUUACCCUCCAUGUCCUCGUAGCUCGUGGCACGCCAGCAGCUGGGGUUCCUCCUUGCCGACAGCAGGCGCCGCAAGGUGAGGGGCUUGUAGCUGCGGUGCUAUCCGGGCGACUUCCUCGAAUGCCGCCUGCUUCUGCUCCGGAUGUUCUGCCACCUGGUGCUCUUGAAGUACUCCGAAAAGAAGCGCUGCUUCGACCUCCCCUUCUCGAAGAACCUAGCCUACUUCGACUUCAUCGAUCGUCGACUAACGAUGCAUGGGUCGUAUCGUCCAUUUGAUACAACAACCAGGAGCGUAGUAACCGUCUAUAAGUCCAUCAAGUACUACAGAGACCUUAAAUCAAGGACUACCGGCAGAACAAUCUCGCGUUCUCUCGACUUGAACCGUUUGUAUUAUUAUGACACCAAAGAAGUCAUCAACGAGCGCUUGGUACGUACACAAGACGUUUGUAAACUAUCUAAACAAGUAUACACGAACUACAGCACAUGUUUCACCCGAUACUCGACGACACAGUAAAGUCAAAGACAGGUCACACUUUUGUCUACUAAGAGUCUUUUAUUUUAUUCUUACCUUCAACUAGGGGUCUUUUAUCUUCUUACUCUUUUGUUCGUUCAAAUGUGAAAAGAUAAAGGUACCAACAUCGACCUGACUAAAAGACUUAUAAUAUAGUGACCCACUACGCACAAGCGAUGGUAUAGACAUGGACAGAUAUACACGGUUUUCUGUACUCCAUCGGUCUAGUCUUCUGAGAUCGUAGGCUGCUUGGUCAUCGUAGAGUUAAUAGUUCUCGCCGUUCUCUACCCUAGAGAGGGGCAGGGCUCACACGUCCGGAACCACCUCCGGUGGCCGCCUCUGCUACACGGCGGCUCCAUAGAGGCCGGUCUACGCCGUCUCCUUCGCCAGUGGCCACUGCCGCUGCCGCUCCGAGUCUAGGGGUAGUAGCUGGUGGCUUCCGACGACGACCUCGACCUGGUACCGCCGCUCCUCAGACGUGCGGAGGUGUCUCGGACGGUCCUGACCCCGAAGAAGGUCAAUCAAUUGGUGUCACAGGGACUGCUACACCAGCUCUCGUACUUCCAGUUGUAGGUCGUUAAGAAGGUCGAUGGGCGUCUCUGCUUCUUCGCUAAGCGAGUCCUCGCUCCCGUCGAGCUUCCGAUGCCAGUUGAUAAGCAGCAGAGGCUCCUAGUCUUCGAGCUGACCCGACUGUACGAGAAGGAGAUGCGUGUCGGUGGGCUCUCCUCCUUCUGGUUCAAGACCGGACUGGUCGGACGAUGGAAGUCUAGCUGCGACCUAUCUAUAAGACCACGCCACUUCCUACAUAGUCUGAGGGAAAACCGAUGCUACCGCUUCUUGAACCCUGACUUUGCUCUUUGCUAGCGACUGUUUACGUAGGCACCUUACGUCAGAAAGUCUUACUUGAUGAUGGGGGGUACGCGGGUUCGUCUCUCUCAGCAACCGAACAGGGGCGUGAGACUACGAUUAGACGACUGGGAACAGGAGGUUCACUUGGUACAGGUCCCGGACGUCUAGUUCUCCUUGCCGUCGACCGAAGGGCAGUUCGGACAGGGCCCGCGAAAGUAGCAGUUGUAGCCUCUAUACGAACUCCAGAAGUGCUUGCCCUCCAUGUCCUCGUAGCUCGUGGCCCGUCAGCAGCUGGGGUUCCUUCUCGCCGACAGCCAGCGCCGCAAGGUGAAGGGUCUGUACCUGCGGUACUAUCCAGGAGACUUCCUCGACUGGCGUGUUCUUCUGCUACGGAUGUUCUGCAACCUGGAGCUCUCGAAGUACUUCUAGAAGAAGCGCUGCUUCGAGCUCCCCUUCUCGAAGAAUCUGGCCUACUUCGACUUGAUCGUCGACUCACUGCCAACUUCAGACAACAACAGCCAAUGCUUACGGCCCACGUAGACACCACAGACAAUAGCAAAGUCAAGGAUAUAUAGGUCACACUUUUUAUUUCCUUAUUACCUCCAACUAGGGGUCUUCUUCUUUGGUUCGUUCAACCGUCGUAAGAUACUAACAUCGACCUGACUAAAAGACUUAUAAUAUUUAAUAAUGACUUACUACGCGGGAGUGGUAGAAGACAGAUAUAUACGGUUUUCUGUACUCAAUCGGUCUUGUCCCCUUGGUCAUCGUAGAGGUAAGAGUUCUCGCCCGUCUCCCCUACCUUAGAGAGAGGCAGGGCUCACACGUCCGGUACCACCGCCGCUGGCCGCCUCAGCUACACGGCGGCUCCAUAGAGGCCGGUCUCCGCCAUCACCUUCGCCAGCGACCACGGCCGCUGCUGCUGCCCCUCCGAGUCUAGGGGUAGUAGCUGGUGGCCUCCGACGACGACCUCGACCUGGCGGCGCCGCUCCUCAGGAGUGCGGAGGUGUCUCGGACGGUCCUGACCCCGAAGAAGGUCAACUAAUUGGUGUUACAGGGCCUGCUGCACCACCUCCCUUACUUCCGGUCGGAGGUUCUUAAGAAGGUCGACGGGCGUCUCUGGUUCUCUGCUAAGCGCGUCGUCGUUCCCGCCGACCUUCCGAUGCCAGUCGACAAGCAGCAGAGCCUCCUAGUCUUCGAGCUGACCCGGCUGUACGAGAAGGAGAUGCGUGUCGGUGGGCUCUAGUCCUUCUGGUUCGAGACCGGACUGGUCGGGCGAUGGAAGUCUCGCCGCGACCUAUCUAUAAGGACGCGACACUUCCUCCAUCGCCUAAGGGAGAACCGCUGCUACAGCCUCUUGAACCCUGACUUCGCUCUCCACUAACGCCUGUCCACGUAGCCUCCCGACGUCAGAUAGUCUUACUUGGAGAUAGGCGGCACGCGAGUCCGUCUGUUUCAGCAGCCGGAGAGGGGCGUGAGCCUGCGGCUAGAGGACUGGGAGCAGGAGGUUCACUUGGUACAGGUUCCGGACGUCUAGUUCUCCUUGCCGUCGACCAAACGUCAGUUCGGACAGCUCCCGCGAAAGCAGCAGUUGCAACCACUAUAGAAGCUCUAGGACUGCUUGCCCUCCAUGGCCUCGUAGCUCGUGGCGCACCACCAGCUGGGGUUCCUCCUCGCCGACAGCCACCGCCGCAAGGUGAGAGGUUUGUGCGCGCGGUGCUAGCCGGGAGACUUCCUCGAACACCGCGCACGGCUGCCCCUCCUGCACCGGAUACGCUGCCACCUCGUACUCUCCGACUCCCUCGAGAAGAAGCGCUGCUUCGACCUCCCCUUCUCGAAGAACCUCGCCUACUUCGAGGGUUCAUGAUGAUCGACUUGACUUACCGCGGACAGCGUCGUCCAUUAAUAUGAUCGUUUGGUUUCAGCAACGAAGGCUUAACAAACGACAAAAGUCGAAAAGGACGUACCUAUCUCUACUUUGUAACACCACCUACUAUGGUACGUAUAGGUUUGUAUUCUUUCGUCCACGACCCGACUAUUAAGCGUAACGAUCCAUUCAUCUCAUCAUCCUACGUAGAGUAGAUCACAGAGGCUCCAAAGCCCGAAGUGAUCGACCGUAGUAAGAUAGCCAUCCAUGCAUGAGGAUCUACAACUCUUUAAGAUACACAUCGGACACACAGAUAUAUACUACUUAAACACUCUCUUUCUUUGUUCUCAGUUCCAACCCCACCCACCCUGCCCCCGGUAUAACUAACGGAGCUCGGGAGGUUACGUUCUUAAUCAAGGGAAAGACAAACCACUCUUUCAACCGAUCAUUGCUCAUAUACUUUGUUUUCAUACUCCCUUGUUCGAUUCGAUUCAAACAAAACGAUUUGGACACGGACAGACCAGACCAGACCAUAGAAUCUAUCUAUUUCCACCACCUCCAUCGUACGUAUACAUCUACCUAAUUAACAUGCUUUGAUUUCAUCAGGGAGGCAAGGUAUUACUACUAACAGUAACAAAAUCUAGUUUAAACUUUGGUGUCUUAGUAUAGUCGUCCGUCCCAACUCGGCACAGGCAGGUUUGUUCUGGCUGGUAGAGGCAGGUAGCCGAACACCUUCUAUCACGUUCUAUGAUCGUCACCACCACAGCAGACGUCGUAGUAGAGAGUUGGCCUACGCCUGAGUUUGUCGCGUCCACCGUAUCUUUCCUUCUUUCUUUCUACCCUCCGUCUUUUAUGAUAUCACGUUUCCAGUCCAUUGUGAUACCCUCGUCUCGUCUCCUCUCCUCUCCUGUGCGUAUUCAAGGUUCGGGUAAAAAAGAAAAGAAGGAGAAGAAGAGGCGGCGCCGCCGUUGAGGGGGUAGUGGCUGUACGAGGCCCUGCCCCUGCCGCUGCCGCGGUUCCAACCCGAACCUGCCCCUCAUCUAACGAAACACAGACGACUCUUUCGUUCAAAAAUCGCCUUACUUCUGGGAACCAAACCGAACUUCCUUUCUUUUCAUCCUCCCU
This 5407-nucleotide ribosomal RNA is filed under the name Triticum aestivum (bread wheat). RNAcentral describes it as "partial small subunit ribosomal RNA". Lineage: Eukaryota; Viridiplantae; Streptophyta; Magnoliopsida; Poales; Poaceae. The record is from RNAcentral.